GAAAAGAACUUUGAAAAGAGAGUAAAAUAGUACGUGAAAUUGUUGAAAGGGAAACGAUUGAAGUCAGUCGUACUGGCGAAAAAUCAACUACUCGAGUGAGUACUUGUGGGCGUACGUGAGCUUCACGGCCGCGUUGUUUGCAAUGUUCGUGCUCUUGUGGUGUACUUUUUCGUGUGGUAGGUCAAUGUCGGUUUUGAACGCCAUAAAAUGAUCGGAGGAAUGUAGCUUCGAUUUAGAUCGAAGUGUUAUAGCCUUUGGUAGAUGUGACGAUUGUGAUCGAGGAUUGCAACGAAUACCCUUUGGACCAUUUGGGUUAUCCGUCUAGCCUUUGAAAGUCGCUUGGGUGCCGAAAGCAUGCUUACGGUUAUCCAAGUUGACUGUCAAUAGAUUAGAACGUGAU
This 400-nucleotide ribosomal RNA is filed under the name uncultured Glomeromycotina. RNAcentral's name for it is "eukaryotic LSU rRNA". The record is from RNAcentral. Lineage: Eukaryota; Fungi; Glomeromycota.